RNAcentral lists this transfer RNA (44 nucleotides) under Bothrops pauloensis. Its description in RNAcentral is "partial tRNA-Ser". The record is from RNAcentral. RNAcentral also lists the same sequence under 4 other names. Lineage: Eukaryota; Metazoa; Chordata; Lepidosauria; Squamata; Viperidae.
ACCGAGAGGAGCCAAAGACCUGCUAACUCUUUAAUCUGACAAAU